GUUUAAAAAAAAAAACUCUAAAAGCUCUGUCCUCUUUCUCUCAAAGUCACUAGGUUCGGUCAUCAAACACUGCCGGAGUUCAUCAAAAACCCUCGUUUUGAGCACUUCGACUUGUAAAGCCCGGAUCUGGGGCUAUUUUCGCAAAAACUCGACCAAAAAGAGAAAAACCCAAAAGAAUCCCUUCGGUUUCUCUUCUGUUUUACCGAAAAGAACUGUUCAUCAUCGGGAAUGAUGACCUCCUCCACUUGCUGCGAUGGGAUUCGAAACGUACUGCCCAUGGCGAGUCAACAGAGGAUGGGUCCUGCUAUUUUGGUGCAACGACGACAGCAAGGUGUUAGGCCUUGGGACAAGGCAUAGGCGAUGUGAUCGAGGAGGGAGCUGCGACGCAUCUAGAGUUUCUGUACCUUUUUUCAUUAGUUUAGGUUUUAGGCCUGUAAAACUUUCAGCUAGGUUUUUAGUAUUUUGGGCUUGAAAAAAUUUGACUGAACUUGUUAUUAUUAUUAUUAUUUAUUUGAUUUA
Molecule: long non-coding RNA, 519 nt
Organism: Gossypium arboreum
Lineage: Eukaryota; Viridiplantae; Streptophyta; Magnoliopsida; Malvales; Malvaceae
Exons: 2
Source: RefSeq, a predicted model, not a curated record